ACACGGGGGGGGCGAGCGUUAUCCGGAAUUAUUGGGCGUAAAGCGAGUCUAGGCGGCUUGUUAAGUCAGAUGUGAAAAUGCGGGGCUCAACUCCGUAUUGCGUUUGAAACUGGCAGGCUAGAGUACUGGAGAGGUGGGCGGAACUACAAGUGUAGAGGUGAAAUUCGUAGAUAUUUGUAGGAAUGCCGAUAGUGAAGACAGCUCACUGGACAGAUACUGACGCUAAAGCUCGAAAGCGUGGGGAGCGAACAGGAUUAGAAACCCCAGUAGUCC
This 273-nucleotide ribosomal RNA is filed under the name uncultured bacterium. RNAcentral describes it as "partial 16S ribosomal RNA". It matches the Rfam family "Bacterial small subunit ribosomal RNA", at positions 523 to 796 of the family's 1533-position model. The record is from RNAcentral.